AUACUUACCUGUCAGGGAAGGUACCAUAAUCAUGAAAGUGGUUUUUCCAGGGUGAGGCUUAUCGAUUGCACUCUGGAUGUGGUGACCCUUGUGAUUUCCCCAAAUGUGGGAAACUUGACUACAUAAUUUGUGGUAGAGGGGGACUGCAUUUGCCAUUUCCCCUA
Molecule: non-coding RNA, 164 nt
Organism: Myotis lucifugus (little brown bat)
Lineage: Eukaryota; Metazoa; Chordata; Mammalia; Chiroptera; Vespertilionidae
Source: Rfam